AGUGGCGUACGGGUGAGUAACACGUGGGUAAUCUACCUUUUAGUGGGGAAUAACCGGGGGAAACCCUGGCUAAUACCGCAUAAUCCUGAGAAGGGAAAGCAGCAAUGCGCUGAAAGAGGAGCCCGCGGCCGAUUAGCUAGUUGGCAGGGUAAGAGCCUACCAAGGCAGAGAUCGGUAGCCGGCCUGAGAGGGCACACGGCCACACUGGCACUGAAACACGGGCCAGACUCCUACGGGAGGCAGCAGUGGGGAAUCUUGCACAAUGGGGGAAACCCUGAUGCAGCGACGCCGCGUGAGCGAUGAAGCCCUUCGGGGUGUAAAGCUCUUUCGUCAGGGAAGAUAAUGACGGUACCUGGAGAAGCAGCUGCGGCUAACUACGUGCCAGCAGCCGCGGUAAUACGUAGGCAGCAAGCGUUGUUCGGAGUUACUGGGCGUAAAGGGUGUGUAGGCGGUUCUUUAAGUUUGGUGUGAAAUCUCCCGGCUCAACUGGGAGGGUGCGCCGAAUACUGAGGGACUAGAGUACGGGAGAGGAAAGUGGAAUUCCUGGUGUAGCGGUGAAAUGCGUAGAUAUCAGGAGGAACACCGGUGGUGUAGACGGCUUUCUGGACCGACACUGACGCUGAGACACGAAAGCGUGGGUAGCAAACAGGAUUAGAUACCCUGGUAGUCCACGCCCU
Molecule: ribosomal RNA, 677 nt
Filed under: uncultured Candidatus Solibacter sp.
Lineage: Bacteria; Pseudomonadati; Acidobacteriota; Terriglobia; Bryobacterales; Solibacteraceae
Description: bacterial SSU rRNA
Rfam family: Bacterial small subunit ribosomal RNA
Source: RNAcentral